Molecule: ribosomal RNA, 468 nt
Filed under: uncultured bacterium
Lineage: Bacteria
Description: partial 16S ribosomal RNA
Rfam family: Bacterial small subunit ribosomal RNA
Source: RNAcentral
GACGAACGCUGGCGGCGUGCUUAACACAUGCAAGUCGAACGGAAAGGCCCUGCUUUUGUGGGGUGCUCGAGUGGCGAACGGGGGAGUAACACGUGAGUAACCUGCCCUUGACUUUGGGAUAACUUCAGGAAACUGGGGCUACUACCGGAUAGGAGCUCCUGCUGCAUGGUGGGGGUUGGAACGUUUCGGCGGUUGGGGAUGGACUCGCGGCUUAUCAGCUUGUUGGUGGGGUAGUGGCUUACCAAGGCUUUGACGGGUAGCCGGCCUGAGAGGGUGACCGGCCACAUUGGGACUGAGAUACGGCCCAGACUCCUACGGGAGGCAGCAGGGGGGAAUAUUGCACAAUGGGCGGAAGUCUGAUGCAGCAACGCCGCGUGCGGGAUGACGGCCUGCGGGUUGUAAACCGCUUUCGCCUGUGACGAAGCGUGAGUGACGGUAAUGGGUAAAGAAGCACCGGCUAACUACGUG